This is a small nucleolar RNA of Phragmites australis (common reed), 139 nucleotides long. RefSeq annotates it as small nucleolar RNA Z247. The record is from RefSeq and is a predicted model, not a curated record. The transcript has a single exon. Lineage: Eukaryota; Viridiplantae; Streptophyta; Magnoliopsida; Poales; Poaceae.
CCCUUGGAGGAAGAAGAAGUCGUCAUCUACAUGUUGACAGGUCUGGAAUCAGAAUAUGAUCUGCUCGUUACAUCUGUCACGACGAGGUCAGAGCCAAUCAACCUCACAGAUCUAUACGCUCAUAUGCCGAGUUUUGAGU